Molecule: ribosomal RNA, 274 nt
Filed under: Enterobacter hormaechei
Lineage: Bacteria; Pseudomonadati; Pseudomonadota; Gammaproteobacteria; Enterobacterales; Enterobacteriaceae
Description: partial 23S ribosomal RNA
Rfam family: Bacterial large subunit ribosomal RNA
Source: RNAcentral
GGGUUGUGAGGUUAAGCGACUAAGCGUACACGGUGGAUGCCCUGGCAGUCAGAGGCGAUGAAGGACGUGCUAAUCUGCGAAAAGCGACGGCGAGGUGAUAUGAACCCUUGACCCGGCGAUGUCCGAAUGGGGAAACCCAGUGUGUUUCGACACACUAUCGUUAACUGAAUACAUAGGUUAACGAGGCGAACCGGGGGAACUGAAACAUCUAAGUACCCCGAGGAAAAGAAAUCAACCGAGAUUCCCCCAGUAGCGGCGAGCGAACGGGGAGCAG